This 474-nucleotide ribosomal RNA is filed under the name uncultured bacterium. RNAcentral describes it as "bacterial SSU rRNA". It matches the Rfam family "Bacterial small subunit ribosomal RNA", at positions 335 to 802 of the family's 1533-position model. The record is from RNAcentral.
ACUCCUACGGGAGGCAGCAGUGGGGAAUAUUGCACAAUGGGGGAAACCCUGAUGCAGCCAUGCCGCGUGUGUGAAGAAGGCCUUCGGGUUGUAAAGCACUUUCAGUAGGGAGGAAGGUAGUGUAGUUAACACCUGCAUUAUUUGACGUUACCUACAGAAGAAGCACCGGCUAACUCCGUGCCAGCAGCCGCGGUAAUACGGAGGGUGCGAGCGUUAAUCGGAAUUACUGGGCGUAAAGCGCAUGCAGGCGGCCUGUUAAGUCAGAUGUGAAAGCCCGGGGCUUAACCUCGGAAUUGCAUUUGAAACUGGCAGGCUAGAGUCUUGUAGAGGGGGGUAGAAUUUCAGGUGUAGCGGUGAAAUGCGUAGAGAUCUGAAGGAAUACCAGUGGCGAAGGCGGCCCCCUGGACAAAGACUGACGCUCAGAUGCGAAAGCGUGGGGAGCAAACAGGAUUAGAUACCCUGGUAGCCACAGAG